Molecule: long non-coding RNA, 1205 nt
Filed under: Manihot esculenta (cassava)
Lineage: Eukaryota; Viridiplantae; Streptophyta; Magnoliopsida; Malpighiales; Euphorbiaceae
Description: long non-coding RNA (MESC_LNC008021)
Source: RNAcentral
GUGUUUUGAGUUUGGUUUUUGGCUUGGCAGAAUCGGACCUGUCGUUCAGAGGGGACCAGGUUCGGCCGCCGAAAGGAGUUUCGGCCGCCGAACCUGCAUGGGAGGCAGUCUUUAGGCUGCCGAACGUGCCCCCGAAGGAGGGACUUUCGUUUCUGUCCUGGGGUUUCGGCCGCCGAACCUGCCGCCGAACUUACCCGAGUUUCGUCUCUGGAAGGGACUUUCGGCCGCCGAAGGUGCCGCCGAAAGUGCCCUGUCCAGCCGUUUCUUGGGUGUUUCCUAUGCAUGUUUAAGUGAUGUUCUAGGGGGUUUUUGGGGAGUUGUUUAUGAGUUGUUUAGAGUAUGUUUGGCACCUCAUUCGAGUCCACCUGUGUAGGAUCGGACCCGAGAGACCGAGGAGGCCAUCAGUGGUAGCAGUUGCAGAGUCAGUCAGCGUCUGCUAGGAAGUGAGUAGAACUAAACUUAAUGUUUUAUUUUAAGAAAUUCUAAUGCCUAAAGCAUGAGCAUGCAUCAUGAUUAUGUAUAGUAGGUUGAUUGCACUAGUUCACGAAUAUGUUGCAUUGCAUUAUUUCAUGUUGAUGCUGAGGUAGGUUUGGACCAAGGCGACUUCAAUAGCCCAUAUCUGUCAUUGAGUCUUGGGUGAGUCUUUUGAGAGCCGGACAAGUACAUAUAGGAAAGUCCUUGUGAGCUCUCUGUGGACUAGGCACCCUGUCAUGUAUGUGAAAGUCCUGUGUGAGCUCCUUUGGGGGAGCCGGGCACCGACAGAGGGAUUUUUGAGGUCAUGUCCGAUCCUUGAGAGUAAAGAUGCUAGCAAUUCAAAGGAACUCUCUAAAAACACUCCGUGGGGAAUAUUUAUCUGUAUGAGCCCCAAGACGGACAAAGUGAUGUGAUUUACUUGUGUUAUGACGCAUUUCAUGAAAGCAUGUAAUUAAUGAAUGGUUUUUUUUUCUGUUUCUACUCACUGGGCUUUUUAGCUCACCCCUUUCCCCUAACCCCAGUUUUGCAGGUUUAAGUCAGAGUCCAGGGGCUGCAGGGUAAAGUCAAGGUUAAGAUAUACAUGUUGUAAUAGCUUAGAUUGUGUUAAUGUUUAGUAGUUUUAGAAGUGGACAUGUAAUAUAAGUUGAUGUAAUGUAAUUUGAGAUGAUGUAUGUAACUGAUAGUAAUGUUUAUGGAUUAGAGUGUGCUUGGCCCUAUAGACUGGUUAAUCC